This 405-nucleotide ribosomal RNA is filed under the name uncultured bacterium. RNAcentral's name for it is "partial 16S ribosomal RNA". It matches the Rfam family "Bacterial small subunit ribosomal RNA", at positions 30 to 526 of the family's 1533-position model. The record is from RNAcentral.
AUUGAACGCUGGCGGCAGGCCUAACACAUGCAAGUCGAACGAGUGGCGGACGGGCGAGUAAUGCUUGGGCAUCUAGCUUAUGGAGGGGUCUCACUACGGGAAACUGUAGCUAAUACCGCGUUCCCUAGUUUGAGCCCACGUGGGAUUAGGUAGUGGGUGAGGGAAAGGCUCACCAAGGCGACGAUCUCUAGCUGGUCUGAGAGGAUGACCAGCCACACGGGGAAUGAGACACGGCCCAGACUCCUACGGGAGGCAGCAGUGGGGAAUAUUGCGCAAUGGGGGAAACCUGACGCAGCCAGGCCGCGUGAGUGAAGAAGGCCUUCGGGUUGUAAAGUUCUUUCGGUAGCGAGGCGUUAACUACAGAAGAAGCACCGGCUAACUCCGUGCCAGCAGCCGCGGUAAUUC